AACACGUGGGUAACCUGCCCAUCAGAAGGGGAUAACACUUGGAAACAGGUGCUAAUACCGUAUAACAAUCAAAACCGCAUGGUUUUGAUUUGAAAGGCGCUUUCGGGUGUCGCUGAUGGAUGGACCCGCGGUGCAUUAGCUAGUUGGUGAGGUAACGGCUCACCAAGGCCACGAUGCAUAGCCGACCUGAGAGGGUGAUCGGCCACAUUGGGACUGAGACACGGCCCAAACUCCUACGGGAGGCAGCAGUAGGGAAUCUUCGGCAAUGGACGAAAGUCUGACCGAGCAACGCCGCGUGAGUGAAGAAGGUUUUCGGAUCGUAAAACUCUGUUGUUAGAGAAGAACAAGGAUGAGAGUAACUGUUCAUCCCUUGACGGUAUCUAACCAGAAAGCCACGGCUAACUACGUGCCAGCAGCCGCGGUAAUACGUAGGUGGCAAGCGUUGUCCGGA
Molecule: ribosomal RNA, 451 nt
Filed under: Enterococcus faecium
Lineage: Bacteria; Bacillati; Bacillota; Bacilli; Lactobacillales; Enterococcaceae
Description: bacterial SSU rRNA
Rfam family: Bacterial small subunit ribosomal RNA
Source: RNAcentral